GAGCUUAAGUUGAAUUACUUGAAACUAAAUAUAUAUAUACUCUAUACUCUGUACCGCUGAAUAUUAUUGCCAACUUUGCAAGCCAAUUGUGUCAGUUCAAUGAACUGAAUCCACUGGUUGUCUGUAAUAAUCAACUAAUUCCACUAUCUGGCAGACUUAAAAACUUUCACGAGCAUCAGUAACAAGUUCCACACCAUCAGCUGCAUUUCAGACUUUAAGCUCUGGGAAAAGCCACACUAAAUGGCCGAAGGAAAAUGAAGCCCACAAAUCGUGCUGCUAGUUGACAUGGAAAACGUCUGGGUUGUGCGCCGAAAAUAUUGUUGUCAGAAAAGUUAAUGAUUUAUAAUGCUGGUCUCGGGCAUUCGUCGCCAUCGCCAGUUCCGUCGGGUUGCGUUCAGUUCAGUUCGGAUCGUAUCCUUGGGGCUCAGUCAUGCAAGGAGAAGCCCUCGAGCCAAACCAGCGAAGCGAGCAAGUUGUACAAAAAUUUUUCACACUUUCCAGCUGAAAAAGACGAGUAAAAAGUUUCGAGCAUGCGGGGUCGGUCGGUGGAGAGGAUGUGCUCCCCUUCACCUUGGGGACCUCUUUAAAGAUUUACGAUGCCGCAUAUGCCUACAGGUCAUAGCUUGGCCAAUGGAUGUGGGUGUGGAUGUCGAUUUGGAUGUGGCUGUGGAUGUGGCUGUGGUGUGUGCACAACAAAAGCACGGCAGACGCUUCAAAUUGUUGCAUUUUGCCCAGAAUGCUGGCAAACUGGCAGUGACAGGGCAGCACACGCAGGAGGAUCCUUCCCAGACGAUGUCCUGGCGUCUGUCCUGGCGCAGCGGCGAUGUCACCGCAGACUUUGACAUACAUUUAUUUUUAUUAUUUACGAUGACUUAGCCCUGCCCCCCACUCGCACUAGACUCGGUUGGGGGCCUAGGCUGGGGCCUAUCUGGGGCUCCUCAUCUUUAAUUCUUUAAAUAGACCGUCAGGGUCGAGUGGGAAUGGAUGCGAACGAGGCUGAAGCUGAAGCUCCCACUAAGGAUUGCACGGUGAAAAAAUAGUUUAUGAUGUGUUGGACGAUUAUUUCGAAUAUAAUGUAGGGUCAU
This is a non-coding RNA of Drosophila melanogaster (fruit fly), 1085 nucleotides long. The record is from Ensembl. NCBI's taxonomy places the organism in Eukaryota, Metazoa, Arthropoda, Insecta, Diptera, Drosophilidae.